RNAcentral lists this unclassified non-coding RNA (221 nucleotides) under uncultured Gammaproteobacteria bacterium. RNAcentral's name for it is "contains 16S-23S intergenic spacer region". The record is from RNAcentral. Lineage: Bacteria; Pseudomonadati; Pseudomonadota; Gammaproteobacteria.
UCCGGUUUGUCACCGGCAGUCUCACUAGAGUGCCCGUUACCGUAGCAACUAGUGACAAGGGUUGCGCUCGUUGCGGGACUUAACCCAACAUCUCACGACACGAGCUGACGACAGCCAUGCAGCACCUGUGUCCAGGCUCCCUUUCGGGCACACCUCUCUCUCAAGAGGCUUCCUGGCAUGUCAAGGGUAGGUAAGGUGGGGAGACGUCACUUACAGCGUAC